RNAcentral lists this ribosomal RNA (253 nucleotides) under uncultured bacterium. RNAcentral describes it as "partial 16S ribosomal RNA". It matches the Rfam family "Bacterial small subunit ribosomal RNA", at positions 524 to 776 of the family's 1533-position model. The record is from RNAcentral.
UACGUAGGGUGCGAGCGUUAAUCGGAAUUACUGGGCGUAAAGGGUGCGCAGGCGGUCCUGCAAGUCAGGCGUGAAAUCCCCGGGCUUAACCUGGGAAUGGCACUUGAAACUACGGGACUGGAGUAUGGCAGAGGGAGGUGGAAUUCCACGUGUAGCGGUGAAAUGCGUAGAGAUGUGGAGGAACACCGAUGGCGAGGGCAGCCUCCUGGGCCAAUACUGACGCUCAUGCACGAAAGCGUGGGGAGCAAACAGG